This 492-nucleotide ribosomal RNA is filed under the name uncultured bacterium. RNAcentral's name for it is "partial 16S ribosomal RNA". It matches the Rfam family "Bacterial small subunit ribosomal RNA", at positions 29 to 507 of the family's 1533-position model. The record is from RNAcentral.
AGUGAACGCUGGCGGCAGGCCUAACACAUGCAAGUCGAACGGCAGCACAGUAAGAGCUUGCUCUUACGGGUGGCGAGUGGCGGACGGGUGAGGAAUACAUCCGAAUCUACUUUUUCGUGGGGGAUAACGUAGGGAAACUUACGCUAAUACCGCAUACGACCUACGGGUGAAAGCAUGGGAUCUUCGGACCUUGCGUGAUUGAAUGAGCCGAUGUCGGAUUAGCUAGUUGGCGGGGUAAAGGCCCACCAAGGCGACGAUCCGUAGCUGGUCUGAGAGGAUGAUCAGCCACACUGGAACUGAGACACGGUCCAGACUCCUACGGGAGGCAGCAGUGGGGAAUAUUGGACAAUGGGCGCAAGCCUGAUCCAGCCAUACCGCGUGGGUGAAGAAGGCCUUCGGGUUGUAAAGCCCUUUUGUUGGGAAAGAAAAGCAGCAAGUUAAUACCCCGCUGUUCUGACGGUACCAAAAGAAUAAGCACCGGCUAACUUCGUG